Molecule: ribosomal RNA, 253 nt
Filed under: uncultured bacterium
Lineage: Bacteria
Also listed under: 2 other names
Description: partial 16S ribosomal RNA
Rfam family: Bacterial small subunit ribosomal RNA
Source: RNAcentral
UACGAAGGGAGCUAGCGUUGUUCGGAAUCACUGGGCGUAAAGCGCACGUAGGCGGAUGUGUCAGUCAGGGGUGAAAUCCCGGAGCUCAACUUCGGAACUGCCUUUGAUACAGCACGUCUUGAGUCCGGAAGAGGUGGGUGGAAUUCCUAGUGUAGAGGUGAAAUUCGUAGAUAUUAGGAAGAACACCGGUGGCGAAGGCGGCCCACUGGUCCGGUACUGACGCUGAGGUGCGAAAGCGUGGGGAGCAAACAGG